RNAcentral lists this long non-coding RNA (1681 nucleotides) under Fragaria vesca (wild strawberry). RNAcentral describes it as "long non-coding RNA (FVES_LNC003821)". Lineage: Eukaryota; Viridiplantae; Streptophyta; Magnoliopsida; Rosales; Rosaceae. The record is from RNAcentral.
UCAUAACUCACUUGGUUCACUUGGAUAUUAAAUGAUGCUUGUUGUUGUUGAUUGUAGAAGAACUCAAUCCAAGUUGCAAUAUUUUCAUAAAUGCAUGUCAUUUUAUCAAUUGUAGAACUUAAUCCAGUUGUUCCUCUAAUGUGUGUAAUGAUUGACCGUAACCAAACACAUUAUGAACAACUUCAUGUAGAGCAACAAUCUCUACAUGAUUCAAGGAUGUCGCCACGAGAUUGAGUCUGUGUAGUAAAUCUUCAAGAUAUUUUCAUAUUCUCAAUGGUAAACACAUAACCAAUUUGAGAAUGCCCUUUAUAAGAAUCUUAGAUAAGUAUCAUGUGUCAGCAAAACCAACUAAUUAAGUAUUGUUAUGGGUAUCCAUAGGAUAACGUAAGGCCUAGAUUUAUUCUAAGCCAGAUCAAGAACCUAGUACAGUAGUAGGAUUGUUUUCUCUUAAUCUCAGUUGCUUGAAGAAGAAGACAUGCAAUCACGUAAAAUCAUCCCCUCAUGGUACAUCCGAGUACUAGCACGCCUGCAUCAAGAAGAAUUCUUUCACACCCCAAACCCGAUGUCGGUGGUUUCCAAGCACCUACACCGAAUCUGAGGCGUGAGAGGAAAAAGUAAAGGAAAAUAGAAUAAAAUGGAAUACAGUUUACAAAAUCGUGGAAAAGAAAAAGUUUACAAAUUACAAAACCAAAUACAACGACAAACAGGUCUUGAAGUCUAACUUCGUAAUCUUUUCCAACUCUUGUACAUGUCAGUUGGUCUUCUCGAAAGACGUGCACCUGAACAAGAAUCUCUAGGGGUGAGCUUACGCUCAGUAGAACCAAACCUUUUAAGUUAUAAUUAUCUAUGUCACGCAAUCAUGUUAUCACAUAACAAAUAAUACUUCACAUAAAUAAACAACAAUUCAAUGAUCAUGCAUGACAUGAUCUCCCUCCACUCAAUUACUGGCUUGCCAGGCCAUACAUCUCUUACAUAUAUGAUCUGACAACCGUACCUCUUUUGUUAGUCAUCUUGUUAUACUCAUGGUCUCCAAACCCGAAACCCGAUUAGAUAAUUUCAUCGACUCCGCGCCGAUGGGGCAUGCAUUCCCCUCUCUUGUGCAAUUGUGGGCUGACAUGGAUUCAUGGAAGCCCCAUGAGGAAACUUAACUACACAAAAUAUAUUAUUUUCUUUUGAUCUCUUUCUCAUCUCCCCAUAAUCACCAAUCUCACUAUCCUCAAUUCCUCACGAUGCAUAAAGUAUGCAAAGAACAUCAAUUCUCAUAAUGUCAUAUCAAACAACAUGCUUUUAUGAAAAACGAUAACACCGAUUAGACAAUUCAUGAUUACACAUGCUUAUAUAUCGAAAUCGAUAACAACCAAGAGUUAAAUCACUCAAUACCAGACAAAUCACAUAAUUCAAUUAUAAACUAAUUAUCAAUUUAAAGUAACGUUUCCUGAGAGACUCUACUUGGAAUCCGAGCCACCUAGAAUAAGCCAUCUAGAAAACACUGUUGGAUCAAUCCCAAACUUCUAGGAUAGAAAGAGGACAUCGAUACGAAUCUGUAACACUUUGCGGAUCUGAAAUCAGAGUUACGGAUCAAAAGUUAUGAUCCGCGGAAGUUUUUUGUCGUAAAUUCUAGAGAGAGAAGAAAAAUUAUGAGAGAGAGAGAGAGAGAGAGAGAGAGAGAGAGAGAGAAGAA